UGGAGUUAAUCAUAUUUAUUUGAUGGUUGGAUUUCUGAUAAUUCUUGAUAAUGAACUAUUUGAGAAUCAUAUCUACUUUUAAGUCUUUAAUUCUUAGUGAAAAAUUGAUUUUUCAUUGAAGUUUUUCACUAACAAUAAAGCAAGCUUAGGUCUAUGGUUAGACCUUAAACACAACAGACUUAAACAAAGUAGAAACAGAUGUUGUACCAUCGAUCAAACUAAAAAGGAUCAUCUAAAUCAGAUAGCAUCGAGUAGGCAUAGCAAGCUAAUCACCACCAUGGUUGAUGGUGUUAGCUUCCUCAGUGGGAACUUUUAACAUCUCGAUUUGAUAUUGUAAGUCUGCGAUCAGAACUCCUUGGUUUUUAAUACUUGAUUCCAGCACUUUAAUCCUUGAUCUUGCCUCAUCGAUCUCUUUAAACAGGUGAGUAGUUAUCUCAGAUUGACUUACUUGCUUCUUCCCUGUGAUGAUAUCCAUCACCUUUUUCCAAUCUGGAUCAUAAGAAUCCAUUUUGACGAUAGUAGGAAUGGGUGAG
Molecule: long non-coding RNA, 533 nt
Filed under: Zostera marina
Lineage: Eukaryota; Viridiplantae; Streptophyta; Magnoliopsida; Alismatales; Zosteraceae
Description: long non-coding RNA (ZMAR_LNC000236)
Source: RNAcentral